RNAcentral lists this long non-coding RNA (489 nucleotides) under Actinidia chinensis (golden kiwifruit). Its description in RNAcentral is "long non-coding RNA (ACHI_LNC000608)". The record is from RNAcentral. Lineage: Eukaryota; Viridiplantae; Streptophyta; Magnoliopsida; Ericales; Actinidiaceae.
ACUCUGAACUCUUCUAAUAUGUAUCCUUUUGUUUCAAUUUGGUUCUCUCUCUAUAUAUAUAUCACAUUUUGAACUAGGGGUCUAAUUUUUGUUAACUUCAGUUAUUGUCAUACUUGUAUGAUUAGUAGUGUUGUGGUAGAAAUUUGGGGGCGAGCAACCAAUAGUCAAAAUUGCUCUUAAAGCUCCGGUACUGCUCUAGGCGAUCUGCGCAAGGGAACAAACGUAACCGGCCGGAGUGAAGCCGCUCAAAACUCCUCCGGCGUGGAGAUCAAACCAAGACGAAUAUAAGCUCGGCUAAAGAAAGUACCAGAGCUCUUAGAACAGAAUUGCAAGGGGCUGGUCAAGUAAUUGCAUAAGCGUACCUUUUCCUGGUAGAGAGAGCGGCCUUUUUAUAGUUGAAGAAUGGAGAAUCGUUUGAGGAUAUCACACCGAGAUCCUUGGGUAGAUAAGUAGGGAAGGAGAUCCCAUGGAUAUCGGAGAUAAAAUAGG